RNAcentral lists this ribosomal RNA (636 nucleotides) under Funaria cacti. Its description in RNAcentral is "SSU rRNA". It matches the Rfam family "Eukaryotic small subunit ribosomal RNA", at positions 1003 to 1664 of the family's 1831-position model. Lineage: Eukaryota; Metazoa; Nematoda; Enoplea; Dorylaimida; Leptonchidae. The record is from RNAcentral.
GGCGAUCAGAUACCGCCCUAGUUCUAACCGUAAACGAUGACAACCAGCGAUUAGUCGGCGUUAAUAUACGACCCGACUAGCAGCUUCCGGGAAACCAAAGUUUUUCGUUUCCGGGGGAAGUAUGGUUGCAAAGCUGAAACUUAAAGGAAUUGACGGAAGGGCACCACCAGGAGUGGAGCCUGCGGCUUAAUUUGACUCAACACGGGAAAACUCACCCGGCCCGGACACCGUAAGGAUUGACAGACUGAGAGCUCUUUCUUAAUUCGGUGGGUGGUGGUGCAUGGCCGUUCUUAGUUGGUGGAGCGAUUUGUCUGGUUAAUUCCGAUAACGAACGAGACUCUGGCCUAUUAAAUAGACGGUGUAUCGAAAAGUAUACCGCGCUUCUUAGAGGGACAAGCGGCGUCUAGCCGCAUGAAAUAGAGCAAUAACAGGUCUGUGAUGCCCUUAGAUGUCCGGGGCUGCACGCGCGCUACACUGAAAGAAUCAGAGUGCGUAAUACCUAGUUCGGAAGAACCGGGUAACCCAAGUAAAUUCUUUCGUGCUUGGGAUAGGGAAUUGCAAUUAUUUCCCUUAAACGAGGAAUUCCCAGUAAAUGCGGGUCAUAAGCUCGCGUUGAUUACGUCCCUGCCCUUUGUA